GAUGAACGCUAGCUAUAGGCUUAACACAUGCAAGUCGAGGGGAAACGGCAUUAUGUGCUUGCACAUUUUGGACGUCGACCGGCGCACGGGUGAGUAUCGCGUAUCCAACCUGCCCUUUACUUGGGGAUACCCCGUUGAAAGACGGCCUAAUACCCGAUGUAAUUCAUUGAUGGCAUCAGAUAUGAAUAAAAGAUUUAUCGGUAAAGGAUGGGGAUGCGUCUGAUUAGCUUGUUGGUGAGGUAACGGCUCACCAAGGCGACGAUCAGUAGGGGUUCUGAGAGGAAGGUCCCCCACAUUGGAACUGAGACACGGGCCAAACUCCUACGGGAGGCAGCAGUGAGGAAUAUUGGUCAAUGGGCGCAAGCCUGAACCAGCCAAGUAGCGUGCAGGAAGACGGCCCUAUGGGUUGUAAACUGCUUUUAUACGAGAAUAAUUUGAUGCACGUGUGCGUUAUUGCAUGUAUCGUAUGAAUAAGGACCGGCUAAUUCCGUG
Molecule: ribosomal RNA, 492 nt
Filed under: uncultured bacterium
Lineage: Bacteria
Description: partial 16S ribosomal RNA
Rfam family: Bacterial small subunit ribosomal RNA
Source: RNAcentral